ACAUUCUCAAACCUUCUUGGUUUCUUGACCAGGAAGGCUUUGGACUUUGGAGGCUUUUGCUGGCAUUCCCUUGUUGAAGCCAGCUCCUCUGAAAUGAAUUAGUGGGGUCUGCUUUGCCAAUCCCUGACGUGAUAAGAUAUUUCUACGUCUUGGGUUUCGCAUCUGCAUCCUGCUUCUAACCGUCUCAUAGAAGACAAAUGGCCAAGUGAUUGCCACUCGACCCACAAA
RNAcentral lists this unclassified non-coding RNA (228 nucleotides) under uncultured Russula. RNAcentral describes it as "sequence contains ITS2". The record is from RNAcentral. Lineage: Eukaryota; Fungi; Basidiomycota; Agaricomycetes; Russulales; Russulaceae.